RNAcentral lists this ribosomal RNA (1002 nucleotides) under uncultured bacterium. RNAcentral describes it as "bacterial SSU rRNA". It matches the Rfam family "Bacterial small subunit ribosomal RNA", at positions 12 to 1017 of the family's 1533-position model. The record is from RNAcentral.
UUUGAUUCUGGCUCAGAACGAACGUUGGCGGCGUGGAUUAGGCAUGCAAGUUGAGCGAAUCCCAGCAAUGGGGGAAGCAGCGUAAGGGGCAGUAAGGCGUGGGUAUUUACCCUGGGGUCUGGCAUAGCCCUUCGAAAGAAGGGGUAAUUCCAGAUGAUGUCGUGAGACCAAAGGUCCGCCGCCCUGGGAGAAGCCCACGUGAUAUUAGCUAGUUGGUGGGGUAACGGCCCACCAAGGCGAAGAUGUCUAGCGGGUGUGAGAGCACGACCCGCGCCACUGGCACUGAGACACUGGCCAGACACCUACGGGUGGCUGCAGUCGAGGAUCUUCGGCAAUGAGCGCAAGCUUGACCGAGCGACGCCGCGUGUGCGACGAAGGCCUUCGGGUUGUAAAGCACUGUCGAGGGGGAGAAAAGAGAAAUCUUGAUCUAUCCCUGGAGGAAGCACGGGCUAAGUUCGUGCCAGCAGCCGCGGUAAGACGAACCGUGCGAACGUUGUUCGGAAUCACUGGGCUUAAAGGGCGCGUAGGCGGGCUGCCAAGUCUGUGGUGAAAUCCUCCAGCUUAACUGGAGAACGGCCGUGGAUACUGGCGGUCUCGAGGGAGGUAGGGGCAAGUGGAACUGUGCGUGGAGCGGUGAAAUGCGUUGAUGUGCACAGGAACUCCGGUGGCGAAGGCGACUUGCUGGACCUCUUCUGACGCUGAGGCGCGAAAGCUAGGGGAGCGAACGGGAUUAGAUACCCCGGUAGUCCUAGCCCUAAACGAUGAGAACUAGAUAGUAGACUUGACUUGGGUUUACUGUCGAAGCAAAAGUGCUAAGUUCUCCGCCUGGGGAGUAUGGCCGCAAGGCUGAAACUCAAAGAAAUUGACGGGGCUCACACAAGCAGUGGAGCAUGUGGCUUAAUUCGAGGCUACGCGAAGAACCCUUAUCCUAGACUUGACAUGUUCGAAAGAGUUAGCAAGUAGAACCCGGGAAACGGAAACGAACGGUAUUCCAAUUCCGGA